This 719-nucleotide small RNA is filed under the name Pongo abelii (Sumatran orangutan). RNAcentral describes it as "processed transcript". The record is from RNAcentral. Lineage: Eukaryota; Metazoa; Chordata; Mammalia; Primates; Hominidae.
GAGCCUGGAAUCCGGGCGCCGGGGCCCUUCGGGGGCUGGGCACGAGCGACUCUGGCAGUGGAAAGACGAUACUCUCGGGGUCUGAGGAUCUGGGGUGUCUGCCUCAGGACGAGGCGUGCGCCGGCACUGGCAGUGGCAGCGCCGAGGGCCUGGCUGCCGACGGCCCCCACCUGCACACGCUGACGCAGCCUAUCGUGGUCACCGUGCCGCGGCCGCCCCCCAGGCCGCCCAAGAGCGUCCCCGGCCGCGCCGUGCGCCCUGAGCCUCCCGCCCCGGCCCCCGCGGCCCUGGAACCCGCGCCGGUGGUGGCGCUGGUGUUAGCAGCCUUCGUGCUGGGCGCCGCGCUGGCCGCCGGGCUGGGCCUCGUCUGUGCGCACUCAGCACCCCAGGCCCCUGGCCUGCCCGCGAGAGCCUCGCCCAGCGGUCCCCAGCCCAGGAGGCCCCAGUGAGGAAGACCGAUGGAAGAGGCCAGUGGUCUGCUGGGAAGGGAGGUGGCCCGCGUAGCGUCCCCUCCCUCACUGAGCCUCAGCCACCCCUCCCAGGGAUGGUGCGCCCCCAACGUGGUCCGGAGAUACACCCAGCUACCAAUUCGGGACCAGGACCAACAGGACCGGACCCGCCUCCCUGGACCUCGGACCUGAUGGGGCCACGACCCCUGCGCUUCUCUCCUCCCCCUGUCCCUCCCACCUGUGCUCAAAAUAAACCUCUGGACUGACCGG